UACUUUCAAAUAAAUCAAUCCAAUGUUUCCACGCUGUUGAUUAGAGCUAGUGACAGCAGUGCCUGAGUUUCCAACAACUGGGCUCUGCUGCUCUCCAUUAGGAAAUGAAACGCCAAACUGCAAACAAUGUUACAUUUUAACCUCCUUCACAUGCUACAAAUCAAGUCACAGGUCCUGUUCAUGAAAAGCAAGAUUUACAUCAUAGGAGUGUCAAAACAUAUUUAUUUGCAUGGGACUAUAGGUAAUCAAUAGCAAUACACAUGGGGAUGGCCACAAUUAGAUUUUUAAUUAGGUGCAACCCAUUUGGUUACAUGCUCUGGUGAACAGCAGCCGUUCGAGUCAAGGGACAGGACCUGGGCUGUGGGUUUGAACCAGAUGGAAUGAAUCAGAAACACAAGCUUCUCCAGAACAGGGGAUGUUGCACAGCUCCAUUUAAAUUAGGUCAGCCCAAACAAACCAAUUACACCCAUCAGAUGCCAGUCUAAUCAGCACCAUUAGGAUAAAAUAAAAGUGUUUCUAGGAACCCAAUCAAACACAUGCUGUACAGUGUUGUUAUAGCCCCAGGGGUUUGGACCAUAUUAGUUUGUUGGUGAUGUGGACACCAGGGAACUUGAAACUCUCGACCUGCUCCACUACAGCCCUGUUGAUGUGAAUGGGGGCGUAUUCGGCCCUCCUUUUCCUGUAGUCCACGAUCAUCUCCUUCGUCUUGCUCACGUUGAGGGAGAGGUUGUUGUCCUGGAGCCACUCUGCCAGGUCUCUGACCUCCUCCCUAUAGGCUGUCUCAUCGUUGUCGGUGAUCAGGCCUACCACCGUUGUGUCAUCAGCAAAUUGAAUUAUGGUGUUGGGGUCGUGCUUGGCGUCGCAGUCGUGGGUGAACAGGGAUUACAGGACUAAGCACCCACCCCUGAGGGGCCACUGUGUUGAGGAUCAGCGUGGCAGAUGUGGUGCUGCCCACCCUUACCACCUGGGGGCGACCGUCAGGAAGUCCAGGAUCCAGUUGCAGAGGGAGGUAUUUAGUCCUAGGGUCCUUCGCUUCAUGAUGAGCUUCGUGGGGACUAUGGUGUUGAACACUGAAUGCUGGGCUGUAGUCAAUGAACAGCAUUCUCACAUAGGAUUUCCUUUUUUCCAGGUGGGAAAGGGCAGUGUGGAGUGCGAUUGAGAUUGUGUCAUCUGGGAUGACGGUGUUGAUGUGAGCCAUUACCAGCCUUUCAAAGCACUUCAUGGCUACCAACGUGAGUGCUACGGGGCGGUAGUCAUUUAGGCAGGUUACCUUCGCUUUCUUGGCACAGGGACUAUGUUGGUCUGCUUGAAACAUGUCGGUAUUACAGACUCGGUCAGGGAGAGGUGAAAAUGUCAGUGAAGACACUUGCCAGUUGGUCCGUGCAUGCUCUGAGUACACGUCCUGGUAAUCCGUCUAGCCCCGCGGCCUCGUGAAUGUUGACCUGUUUAAAGUUCUUGCUCACAAUGGCUACGGAGAGCGUGAUCACACAGUUGUCCGGAACAGCUGGUGCUCUCAUGCAUGCUUCAGUGUUGCUUUCCUCGAAGUGAGCAUAAAAGGCAUUUAGCCCAUCUGGUAGGCUUGCGUCACAGGCAGCUCGUGGCUGGGUUUCCCUUUGUAGUCCAUAAUAGCCUUUAGCUCGAUGCGGAUGCUGCCUGUAAUCCAUGGCUUCUGGUUGGGAUAUGUACGUACGGUCACUGUGGGGAGGAUGUCAUCGAUGCACUUAUUGAUGAAGCCGGUGACUGAGGUGGUGUACUCAAAUCCAUUGGAUGAAUUCUGGAACAUAUUCCAGUCUGCUAGUUAAACAGUCCUGCAGCAUAGCACUGCGUCAUCUGACCACUUCCGUAUUGAGCGAGUCACUGGUACUUCCUGCUUUAAUUUUUGCUUGUAAGCAGGAAUCAGGAGGAUAGAAUUAUGGUCAGAUUUUCCAAAUGGAUGGCAAGGGAGAGCUUUGCAUGCGUCUUUGUGUGUGGAGUAAAGGUGGUCUAGUUUUUUUCCCCCUCUGGUUGCACAUGUGACAUGCUGGUAGAAAUGAGGCCACUAGGAGCGCCGCUUCUGGAUGAGCAUUUUCUGGUUUGCUUAUGGCCUUAUACAGCUUGUUGAGUGCGGUCUUAGUGCCAGCGUUGGUUUGUGGUGAUAAAUAUACGGAAAACCCAGCCAACUGCAUAUUAUCCAUGUUGUCAUUCAGUCACGACUCGGUGAAACAUCAGCGAUUACAGUUUUUAAUGUCCCAUUGGUAGGAUAGUCUCGAAUGGAGCUCAUCCAGUUUAUUCUCCAGUGAUUGCACAUUGGCCAAUAGAACUGACGGUAGAGGCAGGUUACCCACUCGCUGACUAAUUCUCACAAGGCACCCUGAUCUGCGCUCCCUGUAUCUCCUACUUUUCUACAUGCGAAUGACGGGGAUUUGUAUGGAACGCCGUUUGGGUCUUAAAGCACGUGGUCAAAACGCGAUAUUUUUAAUGCUGCGUGUGUAAAGUAAGCAGGUGCAGGCGCUAAAUUAACACGUGCAGGCACUAAAUUAACGUGUGCAGGUGCUAAAUUAAUGUGCGCACGCGUUAAAUGAACACCUAUACGCAUCAAAUAAGUGCGUGCAAAUGUGCUAAAUAAACGGCUGCAAGCCGUCCUGCACACGUCAAAUUAACGCCAACAGCUGCUAAAUAUACACCUACACACGCUAACUUAACGGGUUCUUUAAUUAAUAUGCUAAUUUUACCAGCCAAUUUCCCUAGCUCCUCCUUUCAUUAAAUUAGUGUACAGUCAGUUUGAUGCAACAACACCACAAUUGAAGAUGGCGAGAAGGAACUUACAUAUCCGCUGCAAACUUGAUGCCCUUCAGUCCACGUUAAGAAGCCAGUUCCACUUACCGGGCUCCUCAGACUUGGAGAGGAGCUAGAGGUGCGCCUUGUUAUGCCAUCACUCAAGAGCAACUGAGGUUUCUGAUGUCCUGUGCUUUCAGUGUGUCUCAGAUCGACAGUCAAAUGUCGUCUAAGACUUGGCUCUGGAUGAAAAGAUUAAGGACUUGGUGGUUGGGAACGACAAACGUGGACCGGAGGCUGUUCGAUCACAAUUAAGGGCUCUGGGUUCAGAGACGCAGAGUGAGGGACAGCAUGCUUCGUGUUAAAAGAGCCAUGUCGCAGAGGCUGCAUAGAAGGUCAUGUCGUGUUGCUGGACCAAACUCGUUAUGGCACCUUGAUGGAAACCACAAACUGAUAAGGUGGAGGAUAGUCAUACAUGGUGGCAUUGAUGGGUUCAGCCGUCUCAUUGUUUCUCCGUGCUUCCAGCAACAAUCGCAGCAGUACUGUAAUGGAUUGCUUCAUAAAUGCUGUCUCCAGAUAUGGCGUUCCCUCCAGAGUUAGGACGGACCAUUGAGGAGAAAACAACACUGUCUGCUUGAUGAAUACUACUUCUACAAACGAGGCUACACUUGUGGCAGCACCUAUUCCUGUGGCCCCCCCAUCUUCUGCACCACUUCUUGUGGCCCCCCUCCACCAUUCCCUGAGGCUUAUCGUCCACCUUCACCACACUCUUCUGUUGAUGUUGGUGAUGACAAUGAUGUUGACCUCCAAACACUGCUGAAGUUAAUGAGAUGCCAACCGAAUUAACGUGAUGAGGGACAACGUUUAUGAUUGUGCAAUGAGAGGCUUUAAGAGAGCCCGCUUUAAUCCGGAGGCAAAAAUAGACAUGGUUUUUAGGGAUGGUGACGGAAAAGGGGCAGCUGAUGAGGGUGGUCCCUCAAGAGAAUUUCUCUGGCUGCUAAUGAGUGCCAUCCAUUCCUUUGCAAUAUUUGAGGGACCUGAUUGGCAAAAAUGCCUUUCUUGCAACUCUCAAGCACUCUAUGAUGGCGUAUACAAGCAGGUGGGCCACAUGAUUGCUGUCUGUCUAGUACAUGGGGGUGUAAAGACACAUUUUUUCAGAGGCUAUACAGGCAAGUAUAUGGCCUACAACCUCCUGUGCCAGAAAUGAAAGAAAUGGUGGAAUAUAACUUAAGAGAGAAGUUGGAGAAGAUUCAAAGAGGUCUGGAGUGUCUAGGUCUCCUGCCUUACAUGAAUAGACACUGAAGCCUCUUCAGAGAGUGUUUCAUCUACGCUGAGAAACCUCUUUUGGCCAGACAUAGCUUCUCUCUUCAAAGCAGAGUGCUCUCCACAUGGUACCAAUCAAAGAGCAAUAGAGAGAAGAGUCAUAUGUUUCUGGGGGGACUGGCUUCUGGAGGUGGAAGGUUAGAUGCAAAACCAUGAUCAUUGAAGUAACACGGCCCACAUCAGUAAAACAUCACCUAAUCACUCUCACAACUGUGGGACAGCAUUUUAUAGCCUUAUUCUUCCAUGGUCCCCCUAAGAAUGUAAUGGAUAAAUGAAAUCCCAAACUACCUUCACUUAGAGUAUUGUGCUCUCCAACAAGUGUUACUUAUGGACUUUAAUGACCCCCCCUUCCCUUUUUUUCAGGGGGAACACAUACCCUUCUCCAUGGAGAAGGUUUUCAUUUUCACUUCGGGGGUUUCAGCAUUCCUAGGCUGGGAUUGCCAGUGGAGCCACAGCUACAGUUCUAUCUGCUACCACACAGCAAGUGGUACCGGAGCGCCAAGUCUAUGUCCAAGAGGCUUCUAAACAGAUUCUACCCCCAAGCCAUAAGACUACUGAACAUCUAAUCAAAUGGCUACCCAGACUAUUUGCUGCUACUAUCUAUGCAUAGUCACUUUAAUAUCUCUACCUACAUAUAUAUAUAUUAACUUGACUAACCGGUGCCCCCGAACAUUCCCUGUACCGGUAUCCCCUGUACAGUAUAUAGCCUCGCUAUUGUUAUUUUACUGAUGCUCUUUAAUUAUUUACUCUUUUUGUCGUUUUUUUUAAACUGCAUUUUUGGUUAAGGGUUUUUAAAUAAGCAUUUCACUGUUGUAUUUGGCGCAUGUGACAAAUUCAAUUUGAUUUAAAGAAUUCAUUUAAGGGGAAUUAUCCAAAACGUUUAUUGCAUGACUACCUAGUAAGUUCGGAAUACUGCAGCCAAUGUUAAUUGGUGAUGUGUCCCAAAAGAAUUGAUAUUAUUAAAGUUUCCGACCGGAUUGUCCAUCAGCAAAAAAAGUUGUGCAGUGAAAGUUUUCAAAAACAUUACAACCAACCAGAAUCAAUUGGACACAGUAAUAAAUAAUGCAGAUUUAAUAAAUGUAUGAUUUCUUAGUGGGUAAACUGAGCAUUAUGCAUAGUUAAGUCAUGUAUGUCAAGGGACUGUUACAAUAUGUGCAAUGUUACCAUAAAUAAAUCCUACCGUAAAUAUGUACAUUUCAUUUACAUGUGUAAUGGCAAUAAAAGACACUGUAGUUGGUACAUAGGUCGUGGUGGAGCAAGUUUGAGGGUAGUGGAGAAGCACAAGUGGGACUUUGAGUGAAGUAACUGAAGGCAGAAAAGGAUAUCAGGGUGCCCAGGAACUUGAAGCUGCUGAUCAUCUCCAUGUCAAUGUACAGUAGAUGGGAGAAUGGUCAAGUAUCACCAUGUACUUUGUUUUGUUUACGCUGAGACUGUUGUCCUAUCAUCAUUAUGUCAGGUCCCAGAGCUGCUUCAUGUACUCAUGUGUACCAUGGUAGUGUUGGGUCCCACAGCUCCUUCAUGUACUCAUGUGUACCAUGGUAGUGUCACGUCAAUUCUGGGGAUACACAUUCUUAUGAUAAUGUAAAAAAUCGAAAUUUGUUAUUACAGGAUUUACACCCAGAGCCCUGAGUCUGCAAACCAGUUUGUGGGUCAGGAUGGCGUUGAAAGCAGAGCUAUAAAAUAAAAUGCACUCUGACGUAUGUAAAAAUGUAUAAUUGACAUUUGUUGGGACAAUAGGCAAACUGGAGUUGUACAUUGUGCUACACUAUCUAUUGUUCCAGUUUUUUUAAAUUGAUAUCGACUGGGCUGCAGUGGAGAUGGUAAGAAGCAUUGAUAUCAUAGGGACCUAACUUCUAACGUCCUUUCCUGGUACACCCACAGACACUGCAGUCAAAUGCCAACCAGCGGCUCUCCGUCCUACAGUGGCUGAAGAUGUUUUGCCUGACGUCAAACAUUAACAAGAGUGUCAGAUUGAAGUGUCUGGAAAAAACGUAAACAUAACCAUAAGAGCAGAUGACUUUGUCAUCUUUACUGGCACAGUUUAAAAAUGUCUAAUUGUAGUCCCUUUCAAUUGAUUCAUUGACUCCAAGAACCAUAGAUUGUUUGUAGUUCAUAACAUUAACACAGCUGACAAACGUUGCUUGACUGUAAAUUGGGAUACAUGUUUGAAUAACAUUGGAUAUUUGAUUGGGCUUAAUGUUGUACACCUUGUCAUGUUGUGCAUGCAUGCCAACCAGGUGAGAAUCACCAGAAUUAAUUGAUACUUGAUGAAUCAGGUCUUCUCUGCUGCUUUAUCAGCAUCCCCCUUGCCCACUCCAAGCUCCUCUUCAUGGUUCCCUUCUGCAAGACACAAUUGUGGGAAAAUAAAGUGGAAGGAAUGGGAACCCUAUUCCUUUGAAGCAGUACUGUGUAUAUGCCUGAAGUUAUUUUACCCUGAUAAGCUUCGAAGGAAUAUAAAUAUUCAAAAUGUGAACGUACACAUUAAAGUCUACUCUGUUCGAAAGCUGACAUGUAACGUUAGACGUUAGCAAAGGUUUUACAAGGUUGUCACUAGCCAAAUUUGCUUUAUGUGAGCUUUUCUGUCUUCAUGCUAAUCGCGAGCUAGCGCGGCUAACGCUAGCAUUUAAAUGAAAGCCAGUCAGGCUGAAGAAGUUGCUGACCUUAAGUUGUUGUUUUGCUUAAAUACAAGGCUUUGGGCUAAAAACGGAACUCAAAAACAUGUCCUGCUUCAGUACUAGCCGAUAAGUCACAUUUAGGUAGCUUUGAAGGAAUAUAAAUAUUCAAAAAGUGAACGUGCACAUUAAAGUCUACUCUGUUCGAAAGCUGACAUGUAACGUUAGACGUUAGCAAAGGUUUACAAGGUUGUCACUAGCCAAAUUUGCAAAAUAAAGACAAUAGUCCAAAAAUCUAGAACUACCAGGAUUUUGAGCAUCUCCGUUGUCUCAUCUAUGUAUGCCUGGUCCUGCAUUCAAGCAACAAUCUUGCUAGUAUGUAAUUUACCUUGAUGGUAUCAAAAGUCCAAUGUGUUUUCGUGGCUGUUAUAGUUUACAUGUUUUUUCAGCAGGGCUUUUAAUAAAACACAACACGGUGCC
Molecule: long non-coding RNA, 7169 nt
Filed under: Salmo salar (Atlantic salmon)
Lineage: Eukaryota; Metazoa; Chordata; Actinopteri; Salmoniformes; Salmonidae
Description: lncRNA (ENSSSAG00000090573.1, ENSSSAG00000101454.1)
Source: RNAcentral